GCCGGAGUGGCGGAAUUGGCAGACGCGGCGGAUUCAAAAUCCGCUGGCCUUAACGGCCUUGAGGGUUCGAGUCCCUCCUCCGGUA
This 85-nucleotide transfer RNA is filed under the name Planctomycetota bacterium. Its description in RNAcentral is "Planctomycetes bacterium tRNA-Leu". It matches the Rfam family "tRNA". From Rfam's summary of the family: Transfer RNA (tRNA) molecules are approximately 80 nucleotides in length. Their secondary structure includes four short double-helical elements and three loops (D, anti-codon, and T loops). Lineage: Bacteria; Pseudomonadati; Planctomycetota. The record is from RNAcentral.